Long non-coding RNA from Arvicola amphibius (Eurasian water vole), 7412 nucleotides. RefSeq lists it as uncharacterized. NCBI's taxonomy places the organism in Eukaryota, Metazoa, Chordata, Mammalia, Rodentia, Cricetidae. The record is from RefSeq and is a predicted model, not a curated record. The transcript is spliced from 2 exons.
ACCCAAAAUCAACUCUCUGAUGUUCCAAAAACAAAGCCUGCCCACUCCAGAGCAGCGGGUCAGCAAGGUCAACUGAAGCCCCAGUCCAGAGGGUAAUGUCCACCACAGAGCUGAGCCUGUAGGACACAAGCCCCCGCAGGGAUCUGUGCACUGUCACCCUGCCUUUGGGCUCCUCCCAUACUCCUGGACUCCCCAGAAUGAAAACCCCCUAGCCGAGUUCUCUCCACCCCAGGGAUAUGGGACCAGAGAGCAGGCAAGAUGGCAGGACCCUGCAGGACCCGAGCCAGAAGGAGGUAGUCAAGCAUGGUGAGGCUGGACAUACAGGUUCUGGCCUGCUGCGGAUGCUGGGGAUGGAGACCCUUGCUGCCCAGGCCAACAUGAGGCGGAAGUAGGAGCAGAGGGCUGGCCACUGUGGGGCAGGUUGGUUCUGAGCCCCGACCUCUGCCAUCCAGGCUGAUGCCCCCAUGAAUGAGGAGGUGGCCAUAUCCGCAAGUCCCACCCCAACUUGGAGGCCAUCAAGGAUGGGAGAGAGAACAAAGGCUCAAAGCCUGCCAAGGUGCCUGGCGCUGGACGGACGGCCUCAGGUGUAGCUUUGUCUUUAGGAGGUGGCUGAGGUCACCUGGCUAACAUCCUGUUCUAGCCUCUCAUCAGCCUGCCGAAGGUCCUCGAACUUCUGCCUCAGUGUGUCCCCCGCCUGCCGCAGCCUCUCGUUCAUGGCCACAUAGGCCCGGCUCUGUUGGUAGAGCUGCUCGAGCCGGGCCUCAGGGUCCUCGGCCCUUGGAGAUAGAUCUGGGGGUUCUGGAGAGGAGAAACAGUGGGUCAGGGGUUGGAAGUCAUCCUUGGCUACACAGUGAGUUGGAGCCCUGCCUGGGCUACGUGAGACCUGUCUAGGCCCUAGAAAAUAGAGUCAGUUACAGUCCUGACAAAACCCCAUGCUUCGGGAGUCACCGAGAGGACAGGACCCUUGAUGUCCCACCCAGGGCUGCUUGGGUUUCUGGAUUCUAGGGGAAUCGCAGAAAACAGCCCCUGUACGUAUCGUUUCCCCAGAUUUCCACGUAGGAGCCACUGGGCUUGGAUUUUUUUCCUUUUUCCCUUUGAGACAAGGCCUUGAACUCACAGCAAUCCUCCCGCCCCUGACUCCCAGGUUGGCUUAAGUCAUCAAGCUCGCCGGCCCUUCACCUUUGCUUCUGGUGACCCCACUUGACAGAGUCAGAGAGGGCCGCUAACAGAGAGGCAAAAGUCAGGUUUGCUCCCGACUUGGACAGGCUGGGACCCCGCAGUUUCGCGUUCUCCUACCUUCUGGGGCCAGGGCGGUGAAAACAGGGUCGUUGGGGGGCGCCCCUCGCACGUCCUCCAGGAUCUGCUCCACCGUGGGCGGCGCGGGGCGCGUGGGCAGCACCACGCGUUUCUUGCCUUUGGAGCUCAUCUUGCAGGCGGAGGAGCGCGCGCUGUCAGCAGGUCCACUCUCCACUUGGCCUUCCCACCCUGCGAACCUCUCUAUGCACCCGUUACGGCCCUGUGCCGAGGCCCAUUCCUUGUCUCGCCUUCUCCUUUCCCGGGGUCUCAGAGUUUGGCUUAAACCCGGCCUAACUGAGCCCCCUAAAAUCCCUACUCCAAGUCGCCACCACUUCCGCUUCCUGUUUGAGCGCCGCUCCGUUCUUGCACUUCCGGUCCUCUCCAACUCCGGUCCUCGGGAAACCCCUCCCCGGUCUUAAAGAGCCCUAGGCCUAGACGUUCCUAAGAGCAGUCUAAAAGGAUCAAAGGCUUUCCCUGACCAUGAAUGGCAGGAGGCGCGAGUGCUAGACGUGAGUUAGAGUCCCCCUGGUUGGGCAGAAACUAGGAGUCAGUGUCUAACCACUGCCAGGUACACAGUGGGUACUCAAUAAAUACUGGGUGGUGCCUAUCCACAGGGUAACGUGUUUCAGGGACCUUGUUUCCUUGUCCUGAGUGGUGGCACACGCCUUUAGUCCCAGCACUCAGGAGGCAGAGACAGGUGGGUCUCUGAGUUCGAGGCCAGCCUGGUCUACAGAAUGACUUAAUUACUCUGUCUUAAAAACCAGCACUAACAGCAACAAAAGAAGGAAAGAGAAAAGAGCUAGUCUUCUGCUCAUGGCUGUGCUGUAUCUUGGCACUGGACCGUACUUUGGCCCAGGCUCUCUCCUCCCACCGGGGGUCUCUGGGCCUGGAGCAGUCUCUUUACUCCCUUUAUGGCUCCUUAGUCCUCCAGGGGCCCUUGUCUUAUUUGGGUGACCCUGGGCACCCCCUACCCUGAAGGACACCACAAACUUGACAUCUAUUUAACUUUUAUUUGCCAACUAUGAGGUCAGACACGGGGCUUGUGGACGGUUCUGGGCAGGAAGGGCAGAUGUUUGGUGGCUGUGGUUUGACCUCUGUCCACUGCACCCCUUGUCCUGCUCCAAAAUGCAUAAGGAGACACCUCUUCCACUGGGAGUAGCCAUGGCCCACACAGUGGGCUGCUGCUGAUCUGCCAAGGCCUUCUGGGGCAGGGUCCUAUUCCAGCCUGGGAGCGGGGCCUUGGGGUACCACCCACUGUUCUUUGAGUCAGGCAUCUCUGGUUCCCCAGCCUUCAGGGUCUCAGGCAUUGGGGUGUCUAGCCUAGGGUGGGUGGGCCUUCCUCAAGCCAAGAGGGGUCUCCUGAAAGCCCUGGCCAGUCGGGCCAGCACCAUGGCCCGGGACUGAUAGCUGGGAUGGCCGCCAGAGGUAGCAGGCCUUGGAGGAGCCCUGGAGCUCGUCCAGCAUGAAGGACAGGGGACAGGCAGCGUAGCUGCUGGUCAAGCUGCCUCAGCAGGUGCAUAGGAGGGUGACAGCCGGCCUGUCCCUCGGUCACUGGCUGCUCUGUGUGGCUGUGGAGCCACCGUCACUCUCAGCUAGAGAUGAGGCAGAGCCAGGCCAGGCUGGUGGAGGAACUGUGACUGUCUGUAUGGACAGAAGGGGACAGGGUUGAGACUGCAGCUGGAGGUACAGCCAGUACCCGCCCGCCCAUCCCGGGGCCGCUGCGCCUCCUCCCCCAACAAGUGACCAUGCGCUGCGGCCACUCACCCUGGCGCAGCCCCUCUGUGUCCCUCUGCACACACGUGCGGCUGGUCACCUGGGGGCCCUGGGGCCGCGCUGUCAUGUCCUCGGCCGUCCCGUACAGCAGCAGCGUGUAGUAGAACAAAGUUCCUGAGGCAGGGGUCACGGUGGGCACAGGGGGACCGGCCGUCAGUGGCCUGCCAGGCUCCCACCCAGGCCCAUGUCAGCUGAGCCUGGUUGCUAUCCACCUACUGUGCCAGUGGCUGGAGGCCCUCACUGCCUCAGGACAACUGCACCUACUGUGUGCUAGUGGCCAGACCUCACACCCUCCAGUAGAUAACACUUUGUUAUUUACCACCGGUCAGACCACCCCCAUGAUUCUUCCAGGUUUUUGCACACCUACUGUGUACCAAUAGCUAGGCUUCCCUCCUUUCCUCAGGUGACUUCACCUACUGUGUGCCGCUGUGCUCAGACCCCCACCACCAUCCAUUUCCUUCAGGGAACCUUAUACCUAGUAUGCACUAAUGGCCAGAUCCACACUUCCCCCAUGGUAGUACACCUACUGUGUGCCAGUGGCCACAGCCUCCCUCCCCCACGUUGCUCUACUGUGUACUGGUGACUGGGACUCAACCAUCCUCUAGGUAACAACAUCUACUGUGUGCUAAAGUAAUUGUUACAUGGUCUCUCCAAGAAAACCUCUGGGUUGUGGGACCUGUAGCUGUAGGUCAACCAAAACAGAGUCCCCAGCCCGGCAGCCACAGCCCUGCAGCCACAGCCCGGCAGUCACAACCCGGUAGGCACAGCCUGGCAGCAGCCCACUCUCUCACCUGUGUUAAAAUAGUAGCCCUUGUUCUCCAGACCCAGGGUCCACAGGCCCUGAGGGUCCUCAUCCCAGUAGUGGGUGGACAUGAAGAUCCAGUUCUUGUAGCCUUGGCCGCUGAUAUCCAAGGGUCUGUGGCCAAAGGGUGGCAUGGGAGAGACAGGAAGGAUGGUGGCUCACACGUGUCUACUGAGUCCCACCUGCGUAGGGUACCACCUGCAGGAGGACUAGGCAGGACUCCACUCGCCCACAGGGUCCCUUGGGAGGAUCUCACACCUGAUGGCCACGAGCGUGGAGCGUGUGCCCAUGGGGCUGGUGAGAGAGAUCUCCAGGUCCCCGCGGCGGCUGUAGGAGAGUGACAGCUGGACCUGCACGUGCUCGAGCGAGCGGAUGAGGCGGUGCGAGCCAUCGGAGCACACGGACACGUUCUUCCUCACCAGCAUCCGAGGCAGGAUGGAGCUGGUAAGGUGAGGACGGUCCUGGGGGCCUGCCGUGGGCCGGGUGGCGCCCGGAGGCGGGUCUGGGGGGUGUCGAAGGACCUGAGGGCACUCUCCUCCCUUAGAUGGGUAAAUUGAGGCUUUGGGACAUCCUCCUUGCCUUGGACUAGGGUGAGGAGGGAGGGGAGGAGGGAGGCUGCAACGUCGGGCACGGGUGGACCUGCCUCCUAGGAAUGUGGGAGGGGCCUUCUUCCAGUGGGCGUGACUGGGGCUUCCCCUAGUGGGGCGGGGUGGGGGGCGGGGCCUCCCUCACGUUGGGGUGUGCACCACCCGAAUGGCACAUUUCUUCUGUGGCUGCGUGGGAAGCCACACGCGAGCCAGGUCCACCAGCAGCCCUGCAUCCAGCAGCCCGUAGCCGUAGUGGUGGCUCACUGCGCGGGAGGGGUAGCCGUCACUCGCCCUGCAUGCACGGCACCCCAGUCCCCUCCCUGGCCCCGCCGCACCUUGGCGCCCCACGCCGUUGAUCCUCCAGUCCUCCGCCUGCAGCUGCGCCGGCCUGGACGCGCGGACCACCAGGUGCUGUAGGUCCCUCCAGGUCAGGAGCGGGCUGGGGGGGCGAGGGCGGGUGAGCCGGGCGCCGCCCGUGGGGGCGGGGCGGUGGGCGGGGCCCCACGGUCACCUACUUGGCCUCCAGAGCCAGUGCGAUCAUGCCCGCAGCCAGCGGGGCGGAGGCCGAGGUGCCCGUGUGUUUGUCGGUACACUGGUGGUGCAGGUCCGUGGUGACCUGGUGACAGACAGCAGAGGGAUCUUGAGCCCAGUGCGCGGUCCAGAUGGAUGAUUUGUUUGGAAGGUACUGGGGACUAAGUUCACAAAGUGCUGAAGAUUGAGCUAAGUAUGAAGACACAGAGGACUAAGCUCAAAAGGUACUAAAAGCCCCAGCCAGGCCCGGUGAUGCAGGUGCUCAAACCCAGCACUUGUGGAGCUGUGGCAGGCGUAGCUAGGACUUCUAGGCUAGCCUGGUUUAUGUAUGGUGAAUACGAAUGGCUAAGUUUAACAAGUACUGAGGACUGAGCUCAACAAUUUCUAAGGGCCGAGGUUUAAAACUGCUAAGGACUAGUUUCCCAAACCACCGAGCACUGAGUUCAUUCGUAAUGAUACACGGCCCUACAUCUAAAAAAAAAAAAAAAAAAAAAAAAAAAAAAAAAAAAAAAAGCAACCACUCCUUUAAUCCCAGCCCUUGGGAAGCAAAAACAGUUAAAUCUCUGAGUUCGGGACCAGGUCUACAGAGCGAGUUCCAAGACUGCUAGGGUGGUUACCCUGACUCGAAAACACCAAGAAAAGAAAAAGUGCCAAAUUCUGAGACUUCAUCUCGACAAGCGCCUGAACCCUGGUACUUCAAUCUGGGGGACAGAAGUGCUGAGGCAGGAACCUCAACUGCAGACACCAGGUGGGUAGGGGGCAGAGGCCCUGUAUGUGACAUGUGGCGUGCGAGACCAGGGAGCAGAUUCCAGCAGAGGCAUUGGCGCGGAUCUUGCCCAGGGAGGCAGAGGAGUUGCUAAGUGGGCCGACAUGGUUGCGUCUAGUUUGGAAGGGGGUCGGAGGGGCUGUGAGCCCGAGCCGGGUCGAGAGGGGCGGGGUCUGGGGAGAUCUCUACGGGGGCGGUGCCUGUGCUGAGGGCUUGGCUGGGCGCUCACGAUCUGUGGGUCGGUGGCAACUCCGCUGCUGAAGGUGGUGGUGAACGUGGAGGCGCAGGCCUCGCUGUACCAGGGCACUUGACCCUGCCGCGUGGUGCUGCCCACUGACAGCGUGUGGAUGCUGUUGGUGUAGCCAUCACAAUUGCAGUUGUCAUAAUGGAGGCCACCGUUUCCCGAGGCCCAGAUGAACAGUGUACCCAGACCUUGGCGGCCCUGCGUGGGAAGUGACCCAGGAGAAGGAGUCAGCCCUUCAACCUCAGGGUUGGGGCCCCUCCGCCCACGGUGCGCUCCCUGUGCACCUUGGUCACGCCACGCCUGAAGGCCUCCCGAGUGAGGAUGCCUGGUCCGUCCACCGUGCGACCAUCAUCCUCGGGUCCCCAGCUGGCGCUAUAGAUGUGUAUGUGCUGCGGCUGCAGGCUGAGGGACUGCGCCUCCACGAUGUCUGUGAUGGUUCCGUCCAACAUGCGCACGCCUGCGCGGGUGGGCGUGGGCCUUGCGCCAGCACCAACACUGCUUGCCCUACUAGGCCACCUCCCUGCCACCUUUUAGUAACCCUCAGCUUGGGGCUUGGCACUGCCCAGCAACCCGUGGUGGGAACGGGGGAGGGGGUUGGGAGUGGUGUUCCUCUAUUGAUCAAGCUUAUCCUCACAUCCCCCAGCCUCCACCCCUGGUACCUCCAAUUCUGGCGUUGAAGGCUACACCAGCGCCACAGAAGCCAUUGUUAGCUGUGGCAGACACCUCCCCAGCGCAGCGGGUCCCAUGCCUGAUUCCAGGGAGGAAAGUAGCCAUGUCAUAGCCCACCGUGGAAUUUCUGCCGGCUGAGGGAAUCCCUGGUACAGCAGCGCCUAGCUUACCGGUUCUCAUCGCUGGUGCCGAGAUGACAGGCGUGAGCUCUCAGGCCUGGUUGAAGUGCACUGGAUGGAACCAGGGACUGCCAGCUUGUUGAGCAAGUGCUCCGCCCAUUGAGCCUCGGCCCCUCUGGUCUCUAGCAGUCGGCCUGCUCCUCCCUGAGCAAGGGCCUUUGCAUGUGCUGCUCUGCUGAUACCAGCUCAAGCCCCCCUCUCCUCACACCUCCUUCUUACUCUCAUGAGCUGCGCUCUCCUGGGUAACCUGACUUGAUCUAUCUGUCCGUCCACCAAUCCAACUCAUCUCCAUUCUCUUCUGGCCUCUGAAGACACUUAGUCCCUGGGGAGAUUUGCAGGAGAAGGAUCCCACAGGCUCUGACAGCUAGUUUACAAAUGUGUGGCCUUGUUUGAGAAGGAGUGUCACCAGGAGGCGGGUGGAAGGCUCUGAGGUGAAUUUCCCAGUUAGCUCUCUCUGUAGGUUAGCAGUCACUGCCCCAGCGUGCCAGCCUGCUUGCUCGCUGCCAUGUCCCCCGACAUGGUGGGCAUAGAUGCUGUAAAUUCUAAUAAACUCUUCCUUCUCUAA